Notechis scutatus (mainland tiger snake) is the source of this 1039-nucleotide long non-coding RNA. RefSeq lists it as uncharacterized. The record is from RefSeq and is a predicted model, not a curated record. NCBI's taxonomy places the organism in Eukaryota, Metazoa, Chordata, Lepidosauria, Squamata, Elapidae.
UGGCAACUACUAAAAAAGGCACAGGGAUGUUUUAUGAGUUGACAUGGAGGUUCUCCUAGUGGGAUCUCAUCCAAGUAUUAUGCAGACUUAGGACAGCUGGUGUAGGACAGGUGCAGUGGUGGGAUUCUGCUGGUUCAGACCAGUUCGAGCGAACUGGUUGCGCCAAUGAUCAAUUGGCCCUGUCCUAUCCUGUCCUUUAUUUCCUCCUUUGUAGCUCAUCUCAAUUGUGUGGCACGGCUGAUUUACACCCCCACUCACUGUUCUACUUACCAUUGCUGACUCAGAAGGUAAGCAGCUGAGCUUCUAAGUGCUCCAUUUUCCGCACUGCAUGUGCUUCCUGAACUGGUUGUUAAACCGGCAGCAUCCCACCACCGGCCAGGCAUUCUGGCUGCUCUGCUCAGCCCAUUGACUACGCUCUCUCUUUCAAAGGAGAACAUCUCUCUGGUCUUUGGAGGUCCACCCCUAGAGCCCCUGAGAUGGAUGGACAAGUGGAGGCCAGCAAGAUGGAGAAUUUCCUCCCUUUCUCCUGACCCCACUGAGCGGUGAUUUCCAGGAUGGCCAUGGGGAGGGGAGCACGGCCACCGUCCGGAUCAUCCGAACUACCCAGUACCAGCGGAGGCGAUGGAGACCUUACCGGUUGGGCAGCCUCUCCGCUCUGAGCCGAGGGCCGAUGAGGACCGUGAGUCCUCCACAAGAGAAGACAGAAGAAGAAGGCGCCCUCCCCCAGGCAAGAGAAGCUGGUGCCAGUGGACCCCCCCCUUCCCGGUGCAUUCUGGGACUCUGAUACCCCACUCCAAAGUAGAUAAAGAGUCUCUGGAAUCUUCCCUGUGGCGGCGUUAAGAAGAGACUCAUGUGGGAGUAAUUGUGGGAGUGGGCUGCGCUUGCCUGCUGGGUUUGGGAGGUCUCUGUCCAUUUUCGGGGAGACAGCCGGCCUCUUCCACCCAUGGCAUGAUGGGAGAUUUCCUCCAUGGCGGAAAUAUUUUAUUAAAUCAGUGUUUGGUCACUUUAAGAGAGGUGGACUUCAAUUCCCAGAAUCCUU